UACGUAUGUCCCGAGCGUUAUCCGGAUUUAUUGGGCGUAAAGCGAGCGCAGACGGUUUAUUAAGUCUGAUGUGAAAGCCCGGAGCUCAACUCCGGAAUGGCAUUGGAAACUGGUUAACUUGAGUGCAGUAGAGGUAAGUGGAACUCCAUGUGUAGCGGUGGAAUGCGUAGAUAUAUGGAAGAACACCAGUGGCGAAGGCGGCUUACUGGACUGCAACUGACGUUGAGGCUCGAAAGUGUGGGUAGCAAACAGGAUUAGAUACCCUGGUAGUCCACACCGUAAACGAUGAACACUAGGUGUUAGGAGGUUUCCGCCUCUUAGUGCCGAAGCUAACGCAUUAAGUGUUCCGCCUGGGGAGUACGACCGCAAGGUUGAA
Molecule: ribosomal RNA, 376 nt
Filed under: uncultured bacterium
Lineage: Bacteria
Description: bacterial SSU rRNA
Rfam family: Bacterial small subunit ribosomal RNA
Source: RNAcentral